Molecule: long non-coding RNA, 647 nt
Filed under: Cricetulus griseus (Chinese hamster)
Lineage: Eukaryota; Metazoa; Chordata; Mammalia; Rodentia; Cricetidae
Description: lncRNA (ENSCGRG00000025449.1)
Source: RNAcentral
GACAUGAUCAAAAUUAUGAAUAAAAAACCUCAAAGAUUUACUGAAAUUUUAUGAAAACAUUUCACAAUAACAAAGAAUACAAAUAAUUUAAAUAAACUGAGUUCUUCCUCUGUUUAUUUGGCAUCAUAAAAAUGUUCUACACCUUCAAACCUAAUAAACUGUAAUUUGUAAAACAUAAAAGCAGCUAGAUGUUUGAAGUGUAAUUUUUAAAAAAGAAUCUCUUAGCAAUGUGAAGUAUACAAACUAUAUGGACAUAGUAACAUAAGCUCCACAGAUACCAACAAUGUCCCCUUUGCUUCACUGUUUCAUCCCAUGUAUCCAGAACUGUCUUCCACAAGCUGAUGGCGCUCUUUAAUCUUCUUUCCUCAACUCCUAAACUUCCCCCCGCCCCUACUUCUUCGGCAAAAGGCCCACAUUGGGCGCCUGAAGCCGCGAACCUCCAGCCUGGCCUCCUAUUGGGUGGAUCUCAUGCCACUCUGGGCUUCAGCUGUCCAAUAACGAUUGGACGGCCCUCGUGAGGUUGCCGCCCAUAAACAAAAUGCACUCUUCCUCCUCCCCUCAGUGGCCCCGCCCCUAACUGCCCCUUCUCUCAUCUCGGUCGUUUUUUAUUGGCCUAGGAGCCACCCAAUCCGCUAUCUCAAACAUCG